GCCACUAUUUGAGAUUUCAGAAUUUCUUAAUGGGGCAAGCCAUUUAUUCUAACAUUAAUCUCUACUUCUCUACUACUAUUAAAAGAGCAAACCUAAACUUCUCUAAAAUCACACAACAAACUGUACACGGGAUAACCAGAACCUUUGGAUUAAACCAACUUAAACGCAUUCACUAUCCAUAUUAGAUCAAUAGUCUGCCACCCAAAUCAACGCCUCAGAUUAAAUGUUCUGCCAAGCAGACGCCCUGGUCUGCCAAUCGUCCGCGCUCGCAUCCUCUAAUCCGCGUGGCCCUCCCUGAUUUACGGAACGCAGUUAGUGCGUGACACGAUAUCCUUAACAACCGAUGAUUUCCUUUUUCUCUCUACCUCUUUCUCGGCAAAAAACCGCUCCCUCCCCUAGAGUCCCUCCCGCAGACCUCUCCCCAUGGCCCCAUCACCCGUCGUCGUCGCCGCUCGUCGCCGCCGCCUCCCCAUGCGAUGGAGGCAUCUCUCCCUUAUUUCCCAAGUGCGCGGCAGAUGACGGAAAGGACGACCGCCAACUCUCUCUUCUCCCUCGCCCCGCUCCGCCUCACCCAUCGCCGUCUCAUCUCCCGCACCCCCGGCACAGCCUCACGCUUCCGGACGGUUGCCUCAACCGUCCCCUGGCCCGAUGGGGGCGCGGGGAGCGCGCUGCUCUCGGUGCUCGACCGGGCGCUCACCGACAAGGAACAAUACUGUCGCGAGGGCUCCCAGGUGCGACGCAAGGGCAUGGAGGCAGAGAGGUCCGUCGUAGAGGUGAUCCAGGUGCCGGUGAGGAGGAAGAAGGUGGUGAAUGCCACACAUCAGCAAUCGUCCUCCCACGCCAGACACGCCCAUGUUCUGUUGCUGCUGAUCCCGCAUCACGAUACACAUAAACUGUUUGAGGUUAAAAUGACGGUUGUUCUUGGGGAGCUUGGAGGAAGUGACGAGUAUUCGCUCCUCGAAUCCUUGAAACAAGGAAAGGUCGAGAAACCUGUUCUUGCUUGGGUUAGUGGGACGUGUGCACGUUUGUUGAAAUUUGAUUCCAGUUUUUCCAUGCUGUAAGUUGUAAACAAAAUUUCCUCGAGUUCCAGUGAGCUGAACAAGUAUGCGCAGAUGUACUUUUUUUUUUUUGUAUAAGAGGGUGCGGUGAGUGGUGGUGAGUUGGAAUCUACACAAGCUAAGAAUCAUUCACUAUGGGAUGCUGGGGCUGUUGUUCCUACUUCAUUUGAAGCUCUUGAAAGGAUUAAGGAUUUCAGAAGCUGGUUGAGGAAGGAAAAAUUCCUCCUGUCCCCAAGGUUACACCUCCCCCCAUUCCUGAAGAUCUUAAAACUGCCAUUGAAAGUGGGAAGGUCUGAGCUCUUACAAUUUAUCUCCACUAUCUCUGAGGAUAGAGGUUAGAUUGGUGGCAACAUGUUAUCCUACAUAUAUUCUUGAUUGUUGUCUUCUGGAUAUUAUGAACCUAUAUUCGUUACCAAGAUGCUAAGACAUGGGUUCAAGGAACCCCAAUAAAGCGUUCGAUUACAACAUCGGGUGCCUCUUUUCACUAUAAUUAGAUGGUGUGAAUAAUUGUUCAACUCAGGAGAGAGACCCACUCUGGGAAAGGGUUGCUUGCGUAGGCUUGCAUCUUGCUUUCUGCAUCUCGGUAUAUCUUUCCAUAUAAAUUGUAACAGUGGGCACCUUGAUACUUGUUCCUUUGGCGUUAACCGUGUGGGGAAGUUGAGCUCAGAAACUGCCGUGAAAGCACUUGAUGCUUGAACCCACCGGUAGUAUAAUGGAGCGAACAUUCUUAGAAUUUUAGUCUGAUCCGAUUAUCUGUCAUCUAGAUCCAUUCAAUGGUGACAAUGUAUGAGAUAGUGAUGGAAAUUCUAAGUACAUAAAUUUUGUGUGCGGGUAUCACAUGCUACAUUUACUUGUUUAGCGACAAAUCUAAAUGGCUUUGUUUACUGAUUAUUAGUGUUAAGAAGCUCGACAUGCUUCAGGAAAUUUUAAGACGAAAAAGGCCCGCUUGGCUACUAAAUUGAGAUAUCUUGAUAAAAUUUAAGAUGUCCCCCUGCUGUUAUGAAUUACUUGGUUCUGAUCGGUUCGGUUUAUAGUAGAUUUUUUGUGCUAAUAACUCUUUUUACAUAAAUAAAUGUCUUUGGUGGUAGUGUACUUACUUUGCUGCUUCUGGGUUUGUGAGAGAAAAGAAGAUGUAGACAUUGAUAAAUGAUAAUGGUAGUGGAGUGUCUUCUUUACCAUAAAAAUAUACAUGGCAUGUUCUACAAACUGCGUAUGUCUUAUUCUUUUUUCCGUACAAGCACUUAAGUACCCUAUAUUUUUUACAUUAGCCUAAAUUUAUCAGUGUUGCAUACUGAAAAUUUGCACAUGUGUGUUAUGCCUUCAUGUAUAUCUGUUAUUUUUUCAGAAUAUUCUGAAAUGUAAAUAUAUGAAUUGUGAUGAAAUUUGAAAUUUGAAUUUGGAGACCUCCAUGGAGGCUGAGCUCCAAAGGCCAUUUUCGGGUAAUAAUGUUAAUAAAGAACAUAUAGAAGUAGUUCCCUUUUCAUUAUAUUCCACACGAUUCGACUGGUGAAAGGGAGAUCAUGGGAAGAUAUAUUUGAUUUUUAAACUUGCAAUUUGUUCUGUACUUCAUUGUUUCUAACUAAUACUUCUGUUUUCUGCACUCCAGAAUUUUAGGUGCUUUGGAAUCCAUGGGUGGUAAGAAUUCUUAUUUGUAGUAGGUCCUCCCUGAUGUAAGUAGCUCUCCCCUGGGCUACUACAUUCAGUACACCUGCCGUCCAUAUCAAGAAAUUCUGCUCCAUUGCUUUUCUACUACAUUGAGGACUAUGAUCAUUUGUUUCGAAGAGAGUUUUACUGUUGAGAUUUUUAUUUGCUUUGUAGCUUCAUAUGUUCAUACUUCCACCAGAUAGUAUAAAAAAAUGGCGCUGCAAAGCCCCCUGCUAUAAAUUGAGUUAACUUUUAGCUUUGCGGUCAGUCAACCAAAUUUUGGUGAUUGGUUGAUAGCCCCUAUCUAUUUGUCAGUGACAAUUGUCAUCAUCUUUUGAAGGAAUAAUUCUGGUUCUGAUAAAGAACCAUGCUAUACUUAUUUGUUUUCUGUAUAAGCAUCAAAUCUUUCAAAUGGAUGUUGUGAUUAGAAUAAUGACAACAUUAGUGUUCAUCACUAUUCUUCUUCGACUUGAAUAGAUCUAUGUUAUUGGAGCAUUUGUAUCAAUCAAAAAAAUUGUUGAAAAAUUCAUAGAUUCGUUGCAGAUGAAUAACUAACCAGGCACAAAUCCAUUUCAGUAUGAGCAUGCCCCGUUUACCGACCUAACGAACACUCGUGAUAAUCAGCGUCGUCCCGGGCAAAACCAAAUCUGACAUUUUUGUCUGAAUUUAUCUAACACUAUGGAAUAGGGUAAAUGAUAACCAAAAGAAAAAAAAAGUGAGAUUAUGAUUAGUCAUAUUACCUGUAAUCCAUUCUCUUUUGCUUUAAGGGAGUUGGUUUGUCGAUAAUCAUGACCAACUGAAACUGAUUAAACUAGUAGAGCCUGACCUCAGUUGGUGCGAGUGCUCUAUGAAAGCUUGGGAUUUACCCUGCUAAUGUGCCACCUUUGGUUUUGGUUCAGGAAGAAGAAGGUAGUAUAUGGCGACGAGUGUAACUUGCUUGAUGCUUUUUUCAAUUCAUUUGUUCUACCAAAAGUACUGGUAUUAGGACGUUUUCUACACAUUUGGAAUAGAUUAUCAAGAAAAUUUAGAUAUAGUCUGAUCAAAUUCAUUUAAAUUCAGUUUAAUUAUAGGGCCUGUUCAUUUUUAACAUUGAUUUUAUCAUGUUAUAAAAUUUUCAUACCAUGUAGUUCUUAAAACUGCAUAUAUUUUCCUACUGGAGGUGCCACUUGUGGUCACAAUGCUGCAAAUGGAUGGUGCAUGGACGCAUAUUUUAACUCUCAUGAGUACUUGUAGAAGAAGAAUUGUACAAUGUUGAAAGAUGUUAUUUGCAUCUACAAAGAGGGAUCAUAUCUUUCGAUUGGUUCCAUAAGAAUCAGGAGCAGCAGCUAAUGGACAUGCUAGUGAGCCCCGAGGGCGGUGGCCCCUGCAACAUGAAGAAGAGUAGAAGACCAUCCGGACAAAGGGGAGGUACACAGAUAGCCAAGGACGCAAGGAGACAUGCAGGUCUGCGUUUCAGAGCUACUCCCUCCGUUCGGAAUUACUUGUCGCAGAAAUGGAUGUAUCUAGACGUAUUUUAGUUCUAGAUACAUCCAUUUUCGCGACAAGUAAUUCCGAACGGAGGGAGUAUCUCUUUCAGCACCAGCGAUUAAAUGCUCUGUAGCUGGUCAGGCGUGCUUGCCUAAAAUGUACUCUACUUUGUUAGUUUCUAGAGCCAUGCUAGCUUUGUAUGUUCUUCUUGCAGCCUCAACUAGCUAAUUCUAUUUGAAGCCAAUAUUGUUCUAUCCUUCCAAUUACAGUUAUUCAGAUCUUUUC
Molecule: long non-coding RNA, 4454 nt
Organism: Triticum aestivum (bread wheat)
Lineage: Eukaryota; Viridiplantae; Streptophyta; Magnoliopsida; Poales; Poaceae
Exons: 4
Source: RefSeq, a predicted model, not a curated record